This 107-nucleotide ribosomal RNA is filed under the name Erinaceus europaeus (western European hedgehog). The record is from RNAcentral. Lineage: Eukaryota; Metazoa; Chordata; Mammalia; Eulipotyphla; Erinaceidae.
GUCUAAGGCCAUACCACCCUGAACACGCCUGAUCUCAUCUGAUCUCAGAAGCUAAGUAGGGUCGAGCCUGGUUAGUACUUGGAUGGAAGAAUGGAAAGUCCUAGAAU